AUAGAAGCCAUCGGUCCCUCCACUGGGAGCUGGUCUUCUGUGUUGCUUCACCCCACAGUAAAGGACGGGGUAUCUGAGAUUUUAAGGACAGUGUCCUACUUGGAGAGUGGCACAAAAAUGUCGUUGGAACUCUACCUCUCCUGUUUACCAGAGAGAGAAAGUGGAAACAGGGAAGUCCGAAGGAGCCUGGAGGAAGCGUCUUCCUAAAUUGGCAAGGAAGUUUGGAAGGGAGCCAUUCAUGAACCCUGAUGGCUUAACAAGGGGCAUCGGUCCUGCGUCUCCGAAAAUGCACCCAUUUUUCAAAUCCUAA
Molecule: long non-coding RNA, 310 nt
Filed under: Neogale vison (American mink)
Lineage: Eukaryota; Metazoa; Chordata; Mammalia; Carnivora; Mustelidae
Description: Neovison vison (American mink) lncRNA (ENSNVIG00000006130.1)
Source: RNAcentral